Molecule: unclassified non-coding RNA, 267 nt
Filed under: Hevea brasiliensis (rubber tree)
Lineage: Eukaryota; Viridiplantae; Streptophyta; Magnoliopsida; Malpighiales; Euphorbiaceae
Source: RNAcentral
AUGGCACUUAGUCAACAUUUCUCUUUCAUGCCACGUAUAACAAGACCAUCCUUCAAUUUUAGUAGUUAAUACCGUUGUCCUUCAACUUUGUCAUUUAUAAUAUCAUUAUCCCACAACUUUACAUCAAUGUAAUACCAUUGUGGUUUAAAACUACAUUUUCAUAAUCCCAUCCAAUAUAAAUAUACCAUAACUAGAAUUUUUAAUCUUAGAUUUAACUUUUUUACAUUAAUGUAAUGGUAUAUUUAUAUUGGAUGUGGUCAUGAGAAU